CCUACGGGAGUCUGCAGUGGGGAAUAUUGCACAAUGGGGGAAACCCUGAUGCAGCGACGCCGCGUGAGUGAAGAAGUAUUUCGGUAUGUAAAGCUCUAUCAGCAGGGAAGUAAAUGACGGUACCUGACUAAGAAGCCCCGUCUAACUACGUGCCAGCAGCCGUGGUAAUACGUAGGGGGCAAGCGUUAUCCGGAUUUACUGGGUGUAAAGGGAGCGUAGGCGGCAGAGCAAGUCAGAAGUGAAAGGCCGGGGGCCAACGGCGGGACUGCUUUGGAAACUGCCCGGCUAGAGUGCUGGAGAGGUAAGCGGAAUUCGUGGUGUAGCGGUGAAAUGCGUAGAUAUUAGGAAGAACACCGAUGGCGAAGGCAGCUUACUGGACAGUAACUGACGUUGAGGCUCGAAAGCGUGGGGAGCAAACAGGAUUAGAUACCCCAGUAGUC
RNAcentral lists this ribosomal RNA (440 nucleotides) under uncultured bacterium. RNAcentral's name for it is "partial 16S ribosomal RNA". It matches the Rfam family "Bacterial small subunit ribosomal RNA", at positions 338 to 795 of the family's 1533-position model. The record is from RNAcentral.